GUGGAUAGUUGUCUCAUUGGCAAUGAUACCACAUCUUCUUUCUUCUAUAAAUACACACAUACAUAUAUAAAAAAGAAGAUGUGGUAUGAUUGCCAAUGAGACAACUAUCCAC
RNAcentral lists this small RNA (112 nucleotides) under Mytilus galloprovincialis (Mediterranean mussel). Lineage: Eukaryota; Metazoa; Mollusca; Bivalvia; Mytilida; Mytilidae. The record is from RNAcentral.